AGUGAACGCUGGCGGUAGGCCUAACACAUGCAAGUCGAACGGCAGCACAGUAAGAGUUUGCUCUUACGGGUGGCGAGUGGCGGACGGGUGAGGAAUAUAUCGGAAUCUACUUUUUCGUGGGGGAUCACGUAGGUAAACUUACGCUAAUACCGCAUACGCCCUACGGUUGAAAGCAGUGGAUCUUCGGACCUUGCGCGAUUGAAUGAGCCGAUUUCGGGUUAGCUAGUUGGCGGGGUAAAGACCCACCAAUUCGACGAUCCGUAGCUGGUCGGAGAGGAUGAUAAGCAACACUGGAGCUGAGACACGGACCAGACUCCUACGAGAGGGACCAGUGGGGAAAGUUGGGCAAGGGGCGCAAGCAUGGUCCAACCGUACGACGUGGGUGAAGAAGGCCUUCGGGUUGUGAAGCCCUUUUGUUGGGGAAAAAAAGCAGCAGGUUAAUAACUCGCUGUUCUGACGGUACCCAACGAAUAAGAACAGGCUAACUUCGUG
RNAcentral lists this ribosomal RNA (492 nucleotides) under uncultured bacterium. Its description in RNAcentral is "partial 16S ribosomal RNA". It matches the Rfam family "Bacterial small subunit ribosomal RNA", at positions 29 to 507 of the family's 1533-position model. The record is from RNAcentral.